RNAcentral lists this ribosomal RNA (847 nucleotides) under Kocuria sp. RNAcentral describes it as "bacterial SSU rRNA". It matches the Rfam family "Bacterial small subunit ribosomal RNA", at positions 21 to 874 of the family's 1533-position model. Lineage: Bacteria; Bacillati; Actinomycetota; Actinomycetes; Micrococcales; Micrococcaceae. The record is from RNAcentral.
UGCUCAGGACGAACGCUGGCGGCGUGCUUAACACAUGCAAGUCGAACGCUGAAGCUUGGUGCUUGCACUGGGUGGAUGAGUGGCGAACGGGUGAGUAAUACGUGAGUAACCUGCCCUUGACUCUGGGAUAAGCCUGGGAAACUGGGUCUAAUACUGGAUACGACAUGUCACCGCAUGGUGGUGUGUGGAAAGGGUUUUACUGGUUUUGGAUGGGCUCACGGCCUAUCAGCUUGUUGGUGGGGUAAUGGCUCACCAAGGCGACGACGGGUAGCCGGCCUGAGAGGGUGACCGGCCACACUGGGACUGAGACACGGCCCAGACUCCUACGGGAGGCAGCAGUGGGGAAUAUUGCACAAUGGGCGGAAGCCUGAUGCAGCGACGCCGCGUGAGGGAUGACGGCCUUCGGGUUGUAAACCUCUUUCAGCACGGAAGAAGCGAAAGUGACGGUACGUGCAGAAGAAGCGCCGGCUAACUACGUGCCAGCAGCCGCGGUAAUACGUAGGGCGCAAGCGUUGUCCGGAAUUAUUGGGCGUAAAGAGCUCGUAGGCGGUUUGUCGCGUCUGCUGUGAAAGCCCGGGGCUUAACCCCGGGUGUGCAGUGGGUACGGGCAGACUUGAGUGCAGUAGGGGAGACUGGAAUUCCUGGUGUAGCGGUGAAAUGCGCAGAUAUCAGGAGGAACACCGAUGGCGAAGGCAGGUCUCUGGGCUGUUACUGACGCUGAGGAGCGAAAGCAUGGGGAGCGAACAGGAUUAGAUACCCUGGUAGUCCAUGCCGUAAACGUUGGGCACUAGGUGUGGGGAACAUUCCACGUUUCCGCGCCGUAGCUAACGCAUUAAGUGCCCCGCCU